Molecule: small RNA, 30 nt
Filed under: Bombyx mori (domestic silkworm)
Lineage: Eukaryota; Metazoa; Arthropoda; Insecta; Lepidoptera; Bombycidae
Description: ovarian small RNA-30980
Source: RNAcentral
UGAAGGUUUCUGAACCGUCCCAAUAAGGGC